GGUUCUGCCAUGCAGCGAUGCCUGCCCUGAGAGCCCAGGAGAGAGAGUGCUCCGCGCUGCUAACGUGGCAACCUGGUGCCUCCUGCUCCCGCAGUGGGUCUCCAGUCUUGGAGAGCUCUGUGCCCCUCCCUGGGCUGACUCUAGUGUGUAAAAAUAGGCAUGGCUCAUACAAGGUCCUGAAAACCAUGGCUGGGCUAGAUAAACAGCUAUCUGAUCCAGCGUCAGAGGGACACUCAGCUGUGCUGACUUAGUGAGGCCAGUGGCUCUCAAGUGUGGUGACUUGUUGAGGCGUUUUCUGCGAGACUUUAGGCCAGUCUUGCCUUCGGCUCUGCUCUGACCUUAGAACGUGAUCCUGGGGGCACCUCCGGCCAGGAGAGAGGUUUCUGGCAGAACAGGGAGUCCACGUUCGUCUGCUGCACUCUGCUGCCCCCCUCUGGUCAGGGUGCGGGGCCAUCUGCAGUCCUGAGCAUUGGUCUGUGGACAAGGCACCAGGAGACAGGAGGGCCUUGCAGAUGCUUACCCACAUGAAGUAAGAAGAGGAAGCAUCCUUCCCUGGCCUCUGAAUGAGCUGGGGAGGGACCGGCCAACCUCUGCCAAGCCUGGCACCGCUGAGCACAAGCACAGCACACAGCUGCCGCCCUCUUUCCUUUGGUCUCUUCCUGUCUUUCUCCUUCGUGAGAGUUAAAAGAUCUGGGGACUGGCCCCUACUUUGUCACGCACUAUGAGAUCUCAGCCAGGUGGUGUCCCUCCCAGGGCCUCAGUUUCUCCAUCCAUAGAAUGGAGCUCUUGGGCUCGGAGGUACAGCUUUGGCACUGUCUCAGAUUCUCAGGCUCAGGAUGAAUGAAGCGGCUUCCCAGACCCCGAGGACAGAUGGCUGAUGGGAGCCUUUCCCCAAGGCAGGGGCGGGGGCGGGGGGGAUUGGGCGGUAGGGGUGCUCUAGGUCUCUGUUCCUUUUUGAUGCUUUUUAUUUCAAAAUGUAGAUCUCUUUGCAGAUUUUUCCAGUUAUGAAAGUACUAUGAACACAUGAAACUACUCUCAGCUUCCCCAGUAAUCAUGGGAAUAAAAAUGUGAAUUGUGGUAUUAUGUCAUUUAUCACUCACCAGACUGGCAAACAUGGAACAGCCUGUGAAUGCCCAGCGUGGUUGAGGAUGCAGAGAAGGAGGUGAUCAGACGGCGGGUGCCCUGUUCUGAGCAAGUGCCUGUCCGUGGGUGUGCCCUGAGGAAGGACUUGCACACAGGAUGCUGGCCUAUGGUCCAGAGUGACCACCCAGCUUUCUUUGAAAGAGCAGAAAUGGCAGGUGUGCUGAGGUUCUGUCCAGAGGGAAGGGAGCUGGCUUACGACACGGACGUGGACAGAUGGCCCGCGCCAGCUGUGCCCACACUCCUCUCAACAAGAUCUUGCUGCUCCGCGGGUCGGGGGCUGGGAUCUAUUUCUCACCCGUGAACGCUGGCUGGCCUGUGACACACAGAACGUGCCAGGGGUACUGUGUGUGAGUCCCACAGCCUCUACAGGCCCUGUGGCUUCUGCCGUCGUCCUUUGAGAACCCCAAGCCUUCCAUGCUGUGGCAAAGACCGGGCCAGCCUGCUGAGGAGGGGCUUCCACGUGGGGAGGAAGUGAUACGCUGCAGCUGGCAGCCAGCACCAACUGCUGGAGGCACGAGGCCGUCCUGGACCCACGAGCCCUAGUUGUGUCCUCUGGGGGGAUGGUGUUCCUCUUGGAAAUGUGAGACCACCAUGGAAAUCCGCCUGCUGACCUGUGGGAGGAUGAGAGAAACACGGUGUGUGGCCCUCAUCCUCUCCCUCGGUUCUCCAGCUGAUGACCAGCCAAACCCAGAAGCAGAGCCUUUGCUGACCUGCUGCUGACCACAGAUGCACGAGGAAGCUGGGAGAGGCCGCUGGAACCGCCCCACAGAGCCAGGUUGAGUUGCCUGCGAGGAAAGUAGAACCGCUGAACUUUGGGAAGUUUGUUACACAGCGAUAGACAGCUGACACACCCUCCACGCAACCCACCUCCAUAAAGAGAAGGACGGGAUGGACCGGAUGCAGAAAGCAGGCAGCGCGGAAGCGAGCAAAGUGAGGUCCCUCCUCGAGGUGAUUCCACCAACAAAGGCACCUCCACCCACAGGCCCAAACUGCCUGGAAGCCAGAGGAAGUCUGGAUGAUGGAGUCUGUGUUUAGCCACCUGGGGAAGCAGGAUAGAGCAGGAUGAGAGCACAGGGAGAAUAAAGUGAAUAACCAGAGCACAAACCCUCGAGAUCCCCUUCCAGAGUGCUCCGUGCCUCACACGACUCAUAGAGGACGAAGAGCCCCUCCCCAGCAGCGCGUCCUGAGACCAUCUACCUCAGCACCACGAGCUCUGCUCACACAGGCUUGGGGAGGGCAGUGUUGGCACUGCAGGCCUGCCUUCUGAGCAACUCCCUCUUCCUGGGAGCCGGGAGCCUGAAGGGAUGCCCAUGAACUUGGUCUUGCCUGGGCCACCUUGGCAUGUAUCUCCUGGGUGCCUACAGCUGCAAGUAAGGGAAGAGUCAAUGGGCAGACUCCUGGGCGGAAAGCAUGUUUAUUAUCUCACCUGACAAGGAGUUGAGAGCUAGGGCUUCAGGACUGGCUCGACAACUCAGCCCUGUACCCCCUGGGUGGUUUCUUCCCAUUUCCCUUCCCCAGGCCCUGGCAACAACCAAUCUGUGCUCUGUCUCCAUGGGUUUACUUCUUGUGGAUAUUUCGGAUAAAAGGAAUCCUACAAUAUGUGACCUUUUGUGUCUGACAUCAUUCACUUGACAAAAUGCCUUUGAAGUUCACCCACAUCUCGGUAUUUUGUUCCUGUCCUCUGUGAAGGAGGACUGUGGCAUAAAAAACAAUUUGUCUGAUCUUUGUCCCAGGGGAUGAACGUCUAAAACUUGGGAUUUCCGGAGUGAUAGGAGUGUCUUUGUCAUUCUGAUGAGGCGGCCCAGGCCCCUAGAUGACGUCAGGACAGGGGCUGGUCCCCAGAAUGGCCGACCGCACAACUGGAGGGCUGGGACUUUCCACCUGAGAGUUGAGGGGGGCUUGAGAUUGAGUUCAGUAAUGUGUCUGAUGAUUUAAUCAAUACACCUAUGUAAUGAAACCCCCACAAAAACUUUGGACGCUGAAGCUCAGCGGAGCUUCUGGUUGGUGAGCACGGGGACGUGCCAGGAGGGUGACACACCACGCUCCAGGGGAGAGCGCACAGGAGCUCUGUGUCACCUCUCUGACUUGCCUACGCCUCUCUCCAUGUCCCUGGUCCUCCUGAUCUGCACCCUUUAUAACAAAACUGCAAUCACAAGGACAGUGUUUUCCUGAGUUCUGUGAGUCAUUCUCACGAAUUAUCGAACCCAAAAGGAUCACAAGAACUCCUGAGUUUAUAGCCAGUCAAUCAGAAGCAUGGCGGCCUGGGGAUCCCCUGAGACUGGCACCUGGCACUGAAGUGGGGGCAAUCCUUUGGACAGUGUCCUUGGCCCGGGGAGUCUGACGCCAACUCCAGGUGGUUAGCAUUAGAGCUGAAUUGCAGUAUACUCAGUUGAGAUUUCCCAGAUUAGUGGUCAAUAAUAUUCCAUUGUUGGCGUAUCACAAAUAAAUUGUUUAUUCACUCGUCCCUUGAUGGGCAUUCUGGCAGUUUGCACCUUUUGGUUAUUGUGAAUAGUGCUGCCGUGAACGUGUGUCUGGUUGGAUGGGAGGUUCUUUUGGGCAUGUGACUGGAAGUGGAAUUGCGGGGUCACGUGUUUAUUCUAUGCUUAACUUUUUGAGGAGCCACUAAACACAUCAUACACAGCAACUGCAUUAUUUUACAUUCCACCAACAACAUACGAGGGUUCCAAUUUCUCCACUUCUUUGCUAUCUUAGUCUGUUCAGGCUGCUAUAACAACAAAAUACCGCAGACUGGGUAGAAUAUAAACAACAGAAUUUUAUUUCUCAUAAUUCUGAAGGCUGGAGGUCCAAGAUCAGGGUGCCAGCAUGGAUGGGGGAGAGCCUUCUUCCUGGUUCAUAACUGGAGCCUUCCCACUGUGUCCUCACCUGGUGGAGGGGGCUAGAGAGCUCUGUGGGGUCUCUUUUAUUAAGCACUAAUUGCACUUGUGAGGGCCCCAAUCUUAUGACCUAAGUACCUCUCAAAGGCUUUAACUCCUAAUACCAUCUCAUCAGGGGUUAGGACUCCAAUAUAUGAAUUUUGGGGGAACAUAAACAUUCAGACCAUUACACUGGCCGAUAUUUGUAAUCUUCUGGGUUGUUUUUUAAAAUUCCUAUUGGGUGUGAAGUGGUAUUUCAUUGUGGCUUUGAUUUGCAUUUUCCUAGUGACUAAUGAUGUUGAGCAUAUUUUCACGCAUUUAUUGGCCAUUUAUACAACUUCUUUGGAAAAAUGUCUCUUCAAGUUCUUUGCCCUUUUUAGAAUUGGUUUGUUCGUGUUUUUGUUUUUGAUAAUAGAUCUUUAUAUAUACUGGACAGUAGGCCCUUAUCAGAUAUGUGAUUUGCAAAUGUUUCCUCCCAUUCUAUAGGUUGUCUUUUCAUUUUCUGGAGAAUGUCCUUUGAUGCCCCCAAAUUUUAAUUUUACUGAAAUCCAAUUUAUCUAUUUUUUUGUUGCUUUUCUUUUGGCGUCGCAUCUGAGAACCCAUUGCCCCAUGUUUUCUUCUAAGAGUUUUAUGGUUUUAGCUCUUACAUUUAGGUUGUUGACAAGAUGUUUUUGGCUAUUCAGGGCCCCCUGCACUUCCGUAUGAAUUUGAGAGCUGUCUUUUUCAUUUCUGCAAAAAAGACUAUUGGAAUUUUGACAGGGAUUACAUUAAAUCUGUAGGUUGCUUCGGGUAGUGUCGACAUUUUAGCAGUAUUAAUUCUUCCAAUUGAUGAACAUUUUCCAACUGAUGCUUCCAUUUAUUU
This is a long non-coding RNA of Equus quagga, 4878 nucleotides long. RefSeq lists it as uncharacterized. Lineage: Eukaryota; Metazoa; Chordata; Mammalia; Perissodactyla; Equidae. The record is from RefSeq and is a predicted model, not a curated record. The transcript is spliced from 4 exons.